Molecule: unclassified non-coding RNA, 327 nt
Filed under: fungal sp.
Lineage: Eukaryota; Fungi
Also listed under: 1 other name
Description: partial internal transcribed spacer region
Rfam family: Eukaryotic small subunit ribosomal RNA (bases 1-46)
Source: RNAcentral
AAGUCGUAACAAGGUUUCCGUAGGUGAACCUGCGGAAGGAUCAUUAAAAAAUUCAAAAACCAUAAGAGUAUCUAUUCCUUUUUCUGAGGAGAAAGGAUAGUGCUCAUAUGAACCUUGUGUGCACUGUUAUAACGUCUUUGACGUGUUCAGAAGUUUUCCGGUGGUUUAAAGUUGAUAUGAAAGUAUUAACCCGCCGGGAAGUGAAGAAUCGUCAUUCUUAUAUUAAACCCUUAUUAAUAGCCUUGACUGAAGUUAAAUCUAUGCAAUUUUGUAUAGAAGAAUUUUGUAAUUAAAAUACAACUUUCAACAACGGAUCUCUUGGCUCUC